UACGAAGGGGGCUAGCGUUGCUCGGAAUUACUGGGCAUAAAGGGCUCGUAGGUGGCCAACUAAGUCAGACGUGAAAUCCCUCGGCUUAACCGGGGAACUGCGUCUGAUACUGGAUGGCUUGAGUUUGGGAGAGGGACGCGGAAUUCCAGGUGUAGCGGUGAAAUGCGUAGAUAUCUGGAGGAACACCGGUGGCGAAGGCGGCGUCCUGGACCAACACUGACACUGAUGAGCGAAAGCCAGGGGAGCAAACGGGG
RNAcentral lists this ribosomal RNA (254 nucleotides) under uncultured bacterium. Its description in RNAcentral is "partial 16S ribosomal RNA". It matches the Rfam family "Bacterial small subunit ribosomal RNA", at positions 524 to 777 of the family's 1533-position model. The record is from RNAcentral.